This 121-nucleotide small nuclear RNA is filed under the name Fukomys damarensis (Damara mole-rat). The record is from RNAcentral. Lineage: Eukaryota; Metazoa; Chordata; Mammalia; Rodentia; Bathyergidae.
CUUCCUGGGUAGAACACCAAAAGCAUAUGUAAAGAACUUUUACAUUGGAGCGAUACAGAGAAGAUUAGCAUGGCUCCUGUACAAGGAUGAUAUGCAAAUUUAUGAAGCAUUCCAGAUUUUU